Molecule: long non-coding RNA, 415 nt
Organism: Etheostoma spectabile (orangethroat darter)
Lineage: Eukaryota; Metazoa; Chordata; Actinopteri; Perciformes; Percidae
Exons: 3
Source: RefSeq, a predicted model, not a curated record
UGCUGUGCAAUGUGAGAAAAUCCCAGAGCUGAACUGGGCAGACGCAGCACCUUUCAGACUCACCCCGGGUUAAUUAAGUAGGCUAUAAGCCCACUGUUAGCUAAUAACAUUACCAUCACCACAAUACCCCCGUGAAUUUAAUCUCCUACUUCACCGUUACCUGUCAAGCCACUCAACCUGUAUGGAAAUUAACACCUUGGCUGAAAUGUGACACCCACACCCACACGUCAGUUAAAUAAGUAAGUUAAUGGUAGGGGAGUUGCAUAUGAAGUGGUUUGGGGUCCUUCUGUAAGUAAUUUUGGGGUACAAUUUGGUUUUGAUGAAUUGUACAAGCAGCAAUACGGCCAAGCAAUCGGCCCGUUCCAAAUAGGCACAUUUUCAACGGGCACAGCACUAGUGUGUUCAAUUUUAGAUG